AACGCACAUUGCGCCCUUCGGUAUUCCGUUGGGCAUGCCUGUUCGAGCGUCAUUUAACCCUUCAAGCUAUGCUUGGUGUUGGGCGUUUGUUCCGCCUCCGCGCGUGGACUCGCCUCAAAUUCAUUGGCAGCCGGUAAGUUGGCUUCGUGCGCAGCACAUUGCGUUUACGAUUCUAGCUUGCCUCCUUCCAGGAAAGCUUCUUUUAUUACUUUGACCUCGGAUCAGGUAGGGAUACCCGCUGAACUUAA
RNAcentral lists this unclassified non-coding RNA (248 nucleotides) under uncultured fungus. Its description in RNAcentral is "sequence contains ITS2". The record is from RNAcentral. Lineage: Eukaryota; Fungi.